RNAcentral lists this ribosomal RNA (468 nucleotides) under uncultured bacterium. Its description in RNAcentral is "partial 16S ribosomal RNA". It matches the Rfam family "Bacterial small subunit ribosomal RNA", at positions 28 to 507 of the family's 1533-position model. The record is from RNAcentral.
GACGAACGCUGGCGGCGUGCUUAACACAUGCAAGUCGAACGGAAAGGCCCUGCUUUUGUGGGUUUCUCGAUUGGCGAAGGGGGGGUAACAACGUGAUUAUCCUCCCCUUACCUUUGGGUUAUCUUCGGGAAACUGGGGCUAUUCCCGCAUAGGAGCUCUUGCGCCUUGUUGGUGGUUGAAAAUUUUCGGCGGUUGGGGAUGUCCUGGCGGGUUACCAGCUGGUUGGGGGGGUUGUGGCUUACCAAGGUUUCGACGGGUAGCCGGCCUGAGAGGGUGACGGGCCACAUUGGGACUGAGAUACGGCACAGACUCCUACGGGAGGCAGCAGUGGGGAAUAUUGCACAAUGAGCGGAAGCCUGAUGAAGAAACGCCGCGUGCGGGAUGACGGCCUUAGGGUUGUAAACCGCUUUCGCCUGUGACGAAGCGUGAGUGAAGGUAAUGGGUAAAGAAGCACCGGCUAACUACGUG